GAAGACGCAUCGCAAGGGGCGUGUGACGCGAGAGACGUCAGCCGAGGUCAUCGUAGACUGGCGCGGCCGCGCCAGUUGAAGGAC
Sulfobacillus acidophilus TPY is the source of this 84-nucleotide non-coding RNA. The record is from Rfam. Lineage: Bacteria; Bacillati; Bacillota; Clostridia; Eubacteriales; Clostridiales Family XVII. Incertae Sedis.